Pelobates cultripes (western spadefoot toad) is the source of this 10185-nucleotide non-coding RNA. The record is from the annotation of a GenBank genome assembly. Lineage: Eukaryota; Metazoa; Chordata; Amphibia; Anura; Pelobatidae.
AUGAAAGUUCCCUGGUUCUGUCACAACAGGAAUUUGAUGGCUUAGGCAGCAUGGAGUCUUCAUCUAUUUCACACAUUUUAAGGCGAUAUGGAUUUCCUGACACAUGUAUAAAGCUAUUUAGAAGGAAAAUAAAUGCUCAAAACAAAAUGUAAGUAAUAGAGAUUUGUCAUUUUUGAAAUAAUAAAAAUCGGCUUCAUUGCUAAGUAUGGUAAAUAUAUUACUGAAAAUCAAAUUCCUUUUCUUUUUAACACGUUACUUACAUAUACAUUCUUGGCCUUUCAAAACACACUAUUGUUCUCUAGUAAUGGUUUACAUUCUACUUUUUUCUCUGUCACUGCUCUAUUGUGUCCCUCUUAAUAUGUGUAAAUAAUGGUGCCUGCCCGGUCCUCUCAUAUUCUGCAGAUGUUAUAGGGGAACUGCAGGACUGCAUUUAAGGAAACAGUCAGAGAGAAUAGAAGGCUUUGAGCAUAUUGAAUAAACUACAGAAAUUAUUUUCAGGCUGUGGUAGCGUCAAUGAGACAUGGAAUAACUGUACUUAUUCUAUGUACUGUGCACUCAUUGAGACCUUGCUGUUAUAUUGUGGUGGGAUUCUCAGAAAUAAGAACCUGUUUUACAUACAGUGCUAAAACAUAACUUUUAUUAAUAAUUUGAAAUAUAAAACAUCAAAUUUAAACCUUAAAAUCACAAUAGGAAUAAGGAUUCUAAAAAGGCUGCUAGAAAUUGUUCAAAUUAAAUUGUUCAAGUUAUAUGAAAUAUUAUAGUUCUGGAAGAUAUUUAUUGUUAGGGGUUACCCCUCCUGUUUUCCCUUAGCACAUUGUACGACUAGCUCUUACUUUUUUCUUGGGAUGUCUAAAAAAAAUAAAAUACUUUUUGACAAAAAUGGCAAUUUCUGCAUUCCACUUAAUGUUUAAAAUGGUGCAACAUUGGGUACAUAAUGUGAUUUUUAAAACUUGUUACCCCUCAAUAUUUCUGUAAAGGAUGAAUGAAAAAUUAAAAAGUUACAUUAAUUUUCAUUUUAAGUAGUUCUAGCAAACAUAUGCAUGAAAUGCAUUCUGUGUUUGAAAUAAAUGCUGAGCCAUGUUUUUCUAAUGAUAACAGCUUGACAGGGAAGGGUUAAUUGAAGUUAAUGUUCAAAGAGGUUAGGGUAAAGGGGAGCAAAGGUUAGUGAGGAUUAAUGUCAGAGUUAGUUUACAGAGAGUGUUAAGAUGAUUUUUAAAUCUUGAAAGGGGUUAUAGUUGUGGAUCCAAUGAUUAUUUGGGUUUAGGGUUAGAAUGGGGUUACAUACAAUGUGGUUCAAUAGUACGUUUGAGUUUUAACAGUUGAACCAAGAUUUAAGUUAAGGGCUUAGUCAUUGAGUGCUUACAUUGGGGAUUAAGUAAAUAGUUUUUUUAGGUUUUGGAUUUAAGCUAAAGUUAGAUUUAGAGCAACAUGCGGCAUUUAGGUUACAGGCAUGUGGAGUUAGAAAGGUUAUUCCCAAGUAAUCAGCCUCUUAUGAUUGAUGGUAAAAUAGAAGGAACAGUUAUACAGGGUGAAUCACUUGGUGCUGUCCUUGCUCCUCCUACAAGGCAUUCCCAUUCCAUUACCAAGACCGUUGCCCACCAAUAAAAGACUGGAAACACAUUUGUUGAUAAGGGAAAAAGGCAAUAGCUUUAUUUAAACUAUGUAACAAUUUUAUAAACAACCUGUCAGCUGUUGGGUGUUUAGCCCAAUAGACAGUUCUCCUCCCACCUAAUUGCCAUUAGCUCUAACAGCCGGCACUUGCCAUCGGCCUCGUCCAGACUGUAGUCUCUCCAAACUAACUCCACAUCUCACUCUUUUCUGUGGCUGCACUGUCCAGGAAUCCCACCAGCUGUGACAAAGCACAACACUAGGGAAAAAAACACCACACCAAUACCAUAACCAGGUAGGGAAAGUGGGGAAGUCAGUCAGGAUCCAUCAACUUCUCCUGCUGACUGAUGAGUUCCCACCCCCCAACAUUUCCUUAAAAGUUUGCAACUAUGCAUCUUCUUAAUUCUAGCCUACUAUGCAUGGGUGUCCAGGGAAAUACUUUUCCUGUGUGAAAAGCUGUUAGUGGACAAAUGGGAAGUGAUUUCUUCAUCUUCAUGUCCAGGCUCAUGCAUAUACACUGGAUACUACCAUAUCACACCAUCUUUAACAGUUUAUGUAGCUCUGCUAUCAUAACUAGAUGACUCACUGGCCAAGGCUCCUAGCAUUUAGUAUGGGGUACUGAAAAAUGCACUACACAUGUAUGUUUGUGUGAUGGGUGCUGUGUAUGUGAGAGGGGUGCUUUGUGUGUUAGAGAGUAGCUGUGUUUGUGAGAGAGGUGCUGUGUUUGUGACAGGGGUGCUGUGUGUGAGGGGGGUGCUGUUUGUGAGAGGGGUGCUGGGUGUGUGAGGGAUUCUGUGUGUGUUUGUGUGUGAGAGGGGUGCGCUGUGUGUGAUAGGGGUGUGCUGUGUGUGAGAGGGGUGUACUGUGUGUGAGAGGAUUGCUGUGUGUGAAAGGGGGGCUGUGUGCAAAAGGGGGGCUGUGUGCAAAAGGGGGGCUGUGUGUGAGAGGGGUGUUGUGUGUGUGAGCAGACAUCCCAACAUGAAAAAUCUCAUUUCAAGGAGAUGGCGGUACCAGCAACUGCACCCCCACACACCCACCCCAACACAUACGCGCCCUUUAAUGCACACAUACACACAGCCACCAAACAUGUAUAAACAAUGACAUGAUAUUUUAUUAUGACAGAACACAACUAGUUACAUAUUACAACUAUUUACACACACUAUUAACACACAGACUCAUGCACACACCUGACUGAUACACAGUUAUGGACACUGUCACAUACGCACACAGUCACACACACUCAGAUACAUGCUGACAUACAGAUACACACACACUCAACUACACACAGAUACACAGACUGGUAUUUACACACACACACACACACACACACUAAGAUACACUCACUGGCACAUGCUUACAUACAUAUAGAUAUACACACUGAAACAUACACACUCACUCAGAUAAACACAUAUACACACACCUGCACAUAUACACACACAGAUACACACUGAAACUCAAGCUCUGCUAUCAUGACUAGAUGACUCACUGGCCAAGGCUCCUAGCAUUUUGUAUGGGGUAUUGAAAAAUGCAAUACACAUUACAUUUAUAUUACAUUUACCCUUCAAGGACAAAUGAAUUGAGGUUCUUGCAUUGGGUGUACCAAUAGUUUUGUCUUUCUAAUGGUGUUAAACUUAGAGAAUUCAUACUUUAAUUUUAUAAUGCAUUUCUUACAUUAUCAUAUGGUUUUGUUUGUUAAUGUUCUAAAUAUCAGAGCGAGAAUACCUUUUUGUUGUUGCAAUGUUUGCAGUUUUUGAUGUAUUGAGAUUGUACACUGGUAUAUUUUACAUAAAGAUAAAUAAUGGAUGUUUGGGAAUGUAAAUAGAGAUAUAGAAAUAAACAAUAUGUUGAAAGAGUGGAAGACAUGACAGUCAUCCAAUUUUCAAUUAAUGUAAUAGAACAUCACUAGCACAUUCCUAUUUCACAUAUUUGGUAGACUACACAGUGCCAUCUUAACAACAUUAUGGGUCCCUUUGCAAAGCAGUGCACUAGGACACUGCCUACACAACCAGUCACAGGAAUAAAAAUUAAAAUUAUUGAUAAAAUUAAGCAUAUAUUUAUUGGUACCUUCAACAAAUGCAAUAUUCACACAAUACAAACACACAGACUGCUGAAUACACACACGGACUGCUGAAUACACACACACAGACUGCUGAAUAAAUGCUGAAUACACACAGGCUGUUGUAUACACAUACAGGCUGCUGAAUACAUACACACAGACUGCUGAAUACACACACAUGCACUGCUGAAUACACACACACACACACACAAAAUGCAGAAUACACACAGACUGCUGAAUAAACACACCGGCUCCUGAAUACACACACACUGCUAAAUACACACACACGGACUGGUGAAUACACACACGGACUGCUGAAUACACACAGGCUGCUGAAUACAUACACACAUACUGCAUAAUACACACAGGCUGCUUCAUACACACACAGGCUGCUGAAUAAAUACACAUAGACUACUGCAUAGGCACACAGACUACUGAAUACACACACACAGACUACUGCUAAGUACACACACUCGGACUGCUGAAUACACACACACAGACUGCUGCAUACACACAGACAGACUGCAGAAUACACACAGGCUGCUGAAUACAUACACACAGAAUACUUAAUACAUACACACAGACUACUGAAUACACACACAGACUGCUGAGUACACACACACAGACUACCGAGUACAAACAGACUGCUAAAUGCAUAAACAGACUGCUUAAUACACACACACACACACACACACACAUACAUGCUGCUGAAUACAUGCACACUGCUGAAUACAUACACACAACAGUGCUGACUACAUGCAUGCAGACUGCUGAAUACAUGUACACAGACUGCUGAAUACAUAACCAUAGUCCUUAACAUACACACACAGACUGCUGAACACACACACAGACUGCUAAACACACACACACACACACACAUACAAACUGCUGAAUACACACAGGCAGAAAGCAGUGAGGGGUGCUGUUUGUGUGUGAGUGCUGCUAUAUAUGUUGUGUGAGGGGUGCAGUGUGUGUGUGAGGAGUGCUGUGUGUGUGGGGUGUCCUGUGUGUGUGAAGGGUGGUGUGUGAGUGAGAUGCUGUGUGUGAAGGGUGCUGUGUGUGUGUGAAGGGUGCCGUGUGUUUGUGUGAUGGGUACUGUGUAUGUGUGUCUGUGUGUGAGGGGUGCUGUGUAUAUGAGAGGGGUGCUGUGUGUGAGAGGAGUGCUAUGUGUGUGAGAGGGGUGCUGUGUGCGCGAGGGGUGCUGUGUGUGUGAAGGGUGCUGUGUAUGUGAGAGGGGUACUGUGUAUGAGAGGGGUGCUGUGUGUGUGAGCAGACAUCACAACAUGCAAAAUCUCAUUUCAGGGAGGUGGCUGUACCAGCAACUGCACCACCAUGCAUGCACCCCAACACAUGCACACAUGUGCGCCUGCACAUAUACGCCCCCCAAAAUGCACACAUACACACAGCCACCAAACAUGUGACAGAACACAACUAGUUACAUAUUACAACUAUUACACACACUAUUGACACACGGACUCAUGCACACACCUUGACACACAGUUACAGACACUGUCAUAAACACACACAGUCACACACACAGUUAUGGACACUGACGUACAGAUACACAAACCCACUCAAAUACACACAGAUACACAGACUGGUAUAUACACUACACUCACUGGCACAUACACAUACUUACAUACAUACAGAUACACACACUGACAGAUACACACUCACUCAGAUACACACUGACACACAGAUACACACACCUGCACAUAUACACCCACAGAUACACACUGAAAUUUAGAUACACACUGACAUACAGAUACACACACUUGCAUACACACACACACACACACACACAGAUUACACUGACACACACACUAGCACAUACACAGAUAUGCACAAGGUAUAUUAAUUAUUAAUGUCCUGGCUGAGGCUGAUGGGAGCUCCAGCCUCUCCUCUGCCUCCAUGCUGCCUAUGUGCUCCAGCCUCCUUCUCCUCAUUGUCCCUCCUGCGUGGCUGUCUUUUUAGCUGGGAGGAAGUGACAGGUUCUCUAUCACUUCCUCCCAGCCGGCAGAUACUGCAUGUGUCCGGUCAGGCUCUUAAAGGGCUGGGGCACUCGACCGAGUCCCUGCUCAGAAAUAAUAUUAAUUGGAUGGGUAAUCUUAAUAUAUGCUAAGUGUCCUUAAUUUAUUGAGGGCAUUUAGCAUAUAUAACAGCCUGGAAAUCACACUCAACUUGAUAUAUAUUGUAUGUCAGAUUGUGUAUGAUUUCUGGGAUAGUGUUUGACACUUGAGGGGGUCAGCGAGUCACACUACAAAAGUGUGAGUCUCCCGGACCUCCCGGAAGACUUGGGAUGUCUGGCAUGAGAGAGGUGCUGUGUGUGUGUGAGGGGUGCUAUGUGUGUGAGGGGUGCUGUGUGUGUGUGUGUGUGUGUGUGUGUGUGAGAGGGGUGCUCUGCGUGUGUGUGAGGGGUUCUGUGUGUGUGUGUGUGUGUGUGUGUGUGUAAGGGGUGCUGUGUGUGAGGGGUGCUGUGUGUGUGAGGGAUGCUCUGUGUGUGUGUGAGGGGUGCUGCGUGUGUGUGAGAGGUGCUCUGUGUGUGGGGGGUGCAUAAGAAAAAGGGAUUUUUUGUUUGUUAUUUUUAUCUAUAAAAGAAAAGCUUUAUGUCCCUCCUCAGUGCCCCCAUCCUUCUUCUUACCUUCAGUGGGAGGGGAGGACACUGGUGAGUAGUAUAGAUCUACAGCAUGCAGCUCCUCUGGCUUCAGGCUAUCUUCAUUCUUCUUUUUUUCUGCGAGCAGAAUGUUGUGUCGGAGCAUUGCCAUGGCAAUGUGAGGCAACGCUCUGACCAGCAUGCUGGCGGGAGGACCUGCCUCCCAGGUCCUCUCUCCCUCCCUCCCUCCCUCCUUCCCUCCCUCCCUCCUUCCUUCUCUCUAACGAAUGGCAUUUUUGCCGGUGUGGGAGAACUUUGAGCUGCCAACUGGCCUGAGAGGGUUCAAAAACAAAUAAGCAAGACCCGUUCCCCCCUAUCGACCCAGUACAUGGGCAAUGCUGUGGAGUCCAUAUGCUUGUGGGGGCCCCGGGCAAGUGCCCAGCGUGCCCAUGCGGAAAGACGGACCUGAGACUACAUUGUUGAAACUGGUUGUUUGUCAAUCAUAAUAACUAUUCACACAAUUCUCCAUAUUGGUGAAUUUGAGAAGUGUGUUGUUAGUCAAUAUUCUUGUAAUUCCUGUUGAUCAGUGAUCUCUUUUUGAUAAUAAAUGUUUGAAAAGGGCUCCACUGUGCAACAUAUUCAAACUUCUUUAGUGCUUUCAGAUAACAGGUAUACAGAUGAUUUAAUUACAAUGUUAAGACACUUGUGCCAGCUAGAAUACAAUUUUAUGUCUUUUUUUAUUAUAUUCGUAGAGUCAGUCUCUUCAUGUUACCAUGUUUUCAAUUUUCUUCCUCGAGUACCUCAAUAGACGUGUUGCCUCUUUAGCAAAUCAAUAAAUAGACCAGAUAAUACUUGGCUGAUACUGCUGAGAAUGACCUAACCACAAAACUGUUUUUGUAAUUUAAUUUAUUUAGUGCAGUUGAUCAUUGCAGCAAAAUAAAUUAAAUGAUUGCAUAAUACCUAAGCUUCUAGCUUCUCCUUUAGUUAAUCGUGUAUUUUAAUUGUAUAUUAUAUUCUCCAAGUUAAUGAUUAUGCAGCUAAAUGUGGAUUUUUGUCAGUGGAGCAGAGUUUUAAAUGUCUUAAUUGUGUAUUGAGCACAUAGAGAUUCAGUAUCUUUUUUAAGAUUUACAUUACAGAAUAAAUUAACAUUAGUUUCUGUUUGCAGGCAAACAAAACAAAAAUAAAAUACACUGAGUUUAAAUGACUGGUCGACACUAAUUCAUUCUGAGUAUUACCAGAGAUAAUAAACAUACAUUGCAUGUGCAUCCAAUUAAGCUACAGAUACCAAUUAGCAAACAGCUAAUGUGCAUUAUGUAUUGUGAGACAGAUCUCUGUUGAAUAUGAGCAACUUAGUGCCUUGUAGAAUGUCCACUCAGAUUUUAAUUGUCAAUAAACAAACUUUUGUAUCUCUGUGCAAACAAUCUUAGAAGAUCAUUUGGACAUGAUAGAGGAAAAUUCAGGAUUAAAGUAAAACGUACAGUAAAUAAUUUUACAAAGUCUUUUAAAUUUAUUAUGCAUAAUAGAUUUAAAGGUCACUUGUCAGUAGAGUGAAACGUGUUUACAUUUAUAAUGCCACACACAGUCUUCAUAUAGAACAGAAGAAGUAAAAGCACAAGUUGAGUUAUUUAGUACACAUUGAAAUGUUUAUGUUUUGUGGUCCAUCAAACAAUUUUUCUACUUCUGUUAUUUUUUUAGUUUUAACUAUUCAAAAAUACUUAAAGAGGGCAGUGUUAUCAUUGUGGCAAAUGACAGAGAAAGGAAACAGAGAAUCAUUGCAAAUUAAGUAUGAAUGAAAAAGGACAGAACAGCACUCACAUAAAUUUGGAUAUGAUGAGAAUAGUACAAGAACAGGGCACACUUUCCAGAAUAAGAUAAAAGGAUUUUGUUUUAGGGAAAAAAAACUCUCAAUACUGGAACACAAUCAAGGAACACCUCCUGGACAGCUCACUAAGAAUGCAGCUUCAAAAUGGAUGCUGUCCAGGAGGUGGGAAGGAGGGUCUACUGCUGAUUGGCUGGAAUGUGUCUGCUGACUGUGAGGUACAGGGUCAAAGUUUACUCAAUGAUGAGUCCGCGAUGAACCGUUCGUGGCGAACCAUUCGCGAACCGUUCGGUGAACCGUUCGGUGAACCGUUCGUGACAUCACCACCCAAAAUGUUCUCACAACCAUAUUGCUGGCAAAGCACCAAGGGAGUUUUAGUCCACAACAUGUGGAAUGUUGAAGUUUGCCUACCCCUGCCCCACAGUCUGGUAAUUAUAACUUGAGUAUAAAUGAUGGUGAGUUGGACUUUAUGAUUAAAUUUCAUACUGAAAAAUACAUAUGAAAAUAAAAGCAUUUAUAGUUAAGGUGUUCAAUGGGUGAACGGUAACCUAAUCUUUACAUUGCACCUACCUUGUGUUGAGAAAGGUUAACAUAUAUAUGAUAAAAAGACCCGAAGUGAAAGAGCUUUAGUACAGUAUGUAUGCAAUGCUAAAUGAUAAAUAUUAAUGAGUUUACUUUUAGUCAUUGCCAAAAAUUAUGUUGUAUGCAAUUUUAUGUGGCCUGCUGAUAAAUAUAAAAUUAUUUUUAAUAACAAAUAUAUUUACCUUCUUUAUUUUCCACAGCGCGGAAAAGGAUAUGCUAGUCAAAUCUACAGGACUUACCUGAAGCAGCAUGAUUUGCACAAGUUGACCAACAAAAGCAUCAACUUUUCAACUUCAUUAUCUUGGCUAUCAAUCUCGGUAUUAUUGAAGGAUUAUUAGUCUGCUGCUGAAGACAUGGCCAAUAUUAGGACCUUACUGCUCUCAGCAGGCCUGAGAAAUGAGUUGAAAUGUGAAGAAGAACUGUAGAAACUGGAGAGGCAACCGAACUUGCCUCCAUUAUCAGUGUGUGCCUGUUUACAGCACUAUAUAUCUUUCUUUCUCCAAAAUGUCACUGAGCCCUUUAGAUGUUUCUAUUCACCACAAGAAGCCAAUCGUACAAAUAGAACGUGCAUUAUAAAUGCAAUAUCACUGUUUUAAACUUGACUGUUUUAUAUUAUUUUGUGUGAUCAAGUGUUUCCCAAAUUAUCUAAACUUUACAAGACAGAUUGUGAUCAUGUUAUUUUCACCAGUGGGUCAUCAAAAUGUUGUUUAUCUACUGACCCACAAAAUAUCAAAGACAUUCUGUAGUUUAUACACCGUGUUGCAAAGUGUUUACUGUACUAUUUCAAAGCUUCUAAAUAAAUAUAAAGUAUAUAUUAUAUUAUAUAAUUUUCUGAAAAAGUGGUACAGUUAGUUCAUUUAUAAAUUGAUUCAUACAGACCACACUAUAAACACCAACCAACAAGUCAGGUCCUAAAUAAUUUAUCGUUUGACAUAAUUCUUGAAUAAUGUUUCGUAAUAAUAAAACUGGACCAAUUACUGUUCACCCUUUAAAAAAACAAAAAAAAAAGCUGUAAGCUACAUCAAUUUGUACGGACCUUUCAAUACCAAAGAUGCAGCUUUCCAGAUUGAGCACUAUGACCUAUUGAGGCAUAUUUUGAUCUUCCUUAUUUUAACUCUGUGGCUUUUAAUUUUACUAUUACAAAUAAGUUUUAUAAAAAAAUGAAUUGAUCUGUAUAUGUUGUUAAAACACAACGCUGGAUACUCUGUACAGUUUGAAAUUGUAAAAUAUGUAUCUGAAGAUUACUAUUUUGAAAGAUUAGCCCCAAAUCAUAUAACUUAACACGUAUCUUUCUCUAGCAUAGUUUUGUGGAAACUUGAAAAAUAUAUAUAUCUUCUAAUCCUGCCUAGAAAUGUUUUUUAAUAGACAAAUCAUGAAACAUAGUGUUUUCCAAUUCAUUUUUUACACAGCAAAAUUUAGGACCAUUUCACAUUAUUAAACACUUCAAUAUUAUCUGUGUCUAUGAUAAUAUUUUUUUUCAUGAUUUAAAUUGUAAUAUAUAUACAUAUAUAUAAAUAUAUGAAGAGG